UGGGGUGUCGUCUAAUGGUAGGACGCUUGGUUUUGGUCCAAGUAGUUAGGGUUCAAGUCCUUACACCCCAACCA
Molecule: transfer RNA, 74 nt
Filed under: candidate division WWE3 bacterium CG10_big_fil_rev_8_21_14_0_10_32_10
Lineage: Bacteria; candidate division WWE3
Description: tRNA-Gln
Rfam family: tRNA
About the family: Transfer RNA (tRNA) molecules are approximately 80 nucleotides in length. Their secondary structure includes four short double-helical elements and three loops (D, anti-codon, and T loops). Further hydrogen bonds mediate the characteristic L-shaped molecular structure. tRNAs have two regions of fundamental functional importance: the anti-codon, which is responsible for specific mRNA codon recognition, and the 3' end, to which the tRNAs corresponding amino acid is attached (by aminoacyl-tRNA synthetases). tRNAs cope with the degeneracy of the genetic code in two manners: having more than one tRNA (with a specific anti-codon) for a particular amino acid; and 'wobble' base-pairing, i.e. permitting non-standard base-pairing at the 3rd anti-codon position.
Source: RNAcentral